RNAcentral lists this long non-coding RNA (557 nucleotides) under Gallus gallus (chicken). Lineage: Eukaryota; Metazoa; Chordata; Aves; Galliformes; Phasianidae. The record is from RNAcentral.
CGUAAAGGUACCUGGAAGUGUGGUCAGGAGAGGUGAAAUGAGGACCAAAAGAUGGAUGCCGUAGCAGUACGCAGCAGGCUGUGUGCUGACGGGGCUUUAUUUGGAUGUCUGUUAACAAGUGGAGGUGGUGGGAUGAUGCAGGGGUCAGGCACAGACAGUUCGAGAGAGGUUUGGGUGGGUUUAGGUGUUUGUUUGCCCAAGGGUUUGGAUUCACGUCCUUGUCUUUUUCCAGGAGUUCACCCACCAUGUAACGUCGAGAUGAAAAGCACAUUAUCCUGGUCCUGGAGUUUAUAAUCCAGCUCACCCAUUAGCUCCCAGUCUGCGUCGUUGAUGAGCACCAAAAUUCCUGGCCUCACAGAUUCCCCUUGCAUAAAUAAUUCCGGCCGCUCUUUCAGCAGAUUCUGUUUGAUCCACUUUAGCAGGUUUCUGAUAUCCCAAGGCUCUGGCUGAGAAGGCAAAGUCACCUGAUGCUUUUUUACACCAUCGAACAAGAGUUCUGCACCACCCCCGAACUCCACCUGCAGCGACACGGGCGCCGCCAUCUUGGCGGCGGCGAG